This is a long non-coding RNA of Tupaia belangeri chinensis (Chinese tree shrew), 1188 nucleotides long. RefSeq lists it as uncharacterized. Lineage: Eukaryota; Metazoa; Chordata; Mammalia; Scandentia; Tupaiidae. The transcript is spliced from 4 exons. The record is from RefSeq and is a predicted model, not a curated record.
UGCGGCCAGGACAGCGCUCCCUUUCUCGGCCGGGUCCUCGGCUUCCGAGUCCUGUGACAGCAGCCCACCCGCACCCCUUCCUCCUCUGCUGCUCUCAAUGGAGAGCGGAGCAAGGUGGUGGGGUUUUGCAUUUCGGAUUUCGGAGGUGCUGGAUGUGUUUUCGAAACGCCUACGAGGGACUUAAGCUAGGGGCCGAAGAGUCGUCUUGUCCCAGGAGGAAACCCGUCCAGAGAGAACACGGGACUCCACUGUCCUGUCCCGUGGCUCUGAGGUUGGGCUGACUGUAACGUGAACAGCAGGGCCACGCCUCACACCACUCUCGUCACAGCCAAGGCGACUCGCCUGCGCUCACGCCCAAGGCCAGCCCUGCCCGUCCUCCGCAGCUGACCAGCUCCCAACGGCACAGACACCGGAAGGGCACCUUCGAGAGGGCACGGCAGGGGCAAGUUGGAAAGUGACGUCGUGUAUGUCCAGUGUCUGGGCCACUCAGUGACAUCAAAACGGAACCCACGCUCUCCAGGGAACAUGGCUGGGCGGCAGCAGCGCCUUACACGCAGUCCGACGGGCGGUCCUUCAGAGGACAGCUGGCCGCCAACACACUACUGACUCCACGACAGAGGACAAUAGCGUUUUCAACAAAUGCUUGAACAUGAAUGGCAGCCUAGUCUAGUGACUGAAUGGGCCCUAGCAUUUUCUAUUCGUGUGAUUUGGGGUACUUAAGUGUCCUGUGCCUCAGUUUUGUCUCCCACCUAUAAAAUAAUGAAGCAGUCACUCAGAGACGCUGUGAAGAUGGAACGAGCGGAUUCAGUGUGUGCAGCCCCGACGCUCAGUACAUGUUAACGUUCAUUUUUGCAUAGGCCCGGCCGGGAGGAAGCUAGAUGAUUGAGGUCUUGGAGGCUGCUGGUUGUAAAACUCUACAGCAAGUGGGCGAUGGAGACAUCUACAGGCUGAUGUGAAAACUACAGGAGAGGCUAGGGAGCAGGCCUCAGAAGACCCUGCAGGGCUACCAAGAACUAGUGAUUUCAGAGGAAUAGGAGAAAUGAAGAUUUUCCACUGAUCUUUUAGCCCGGAGUCCACAAACUUGCAUGGAGAGGCAAGGAACAAGCCUCAGAAGACCCCUUCGUGGCUACUGAAAACUAGUGAUUUCAGAGGAACAGGAGAAAGGAAGAUUUUCCACUGAUAAUUCAG